AGAAGUAAAAGUCGUAACAAGGGCUCCGUUGGUGAACCAGCGGAGGGAUCAUUACAGGACUCGCAAGACUCCUACAACCCUGUGAACUUAACUAUAAGCACGUUGCUUCGGCGGGUGUCUCGGAGGGGGUUCUCCCUCCCCGAGACGCUAAACCCGCCGGCAGCCUACUAUACUCUGUCUCUUUGCGUUGGCAUCUCGAGUACAAUCAAACAAGUUAAAACUUUCAACAACGGAUCUCUUGGUUCUG
RNAcentral lists this unclassified non-coding RNA (247 nucleotides) under plant metagenome. RNAcentral's name for it is "partial contains small subunit ribosomal RNA, internal transcribed spacer 1, and 5.8S ribosomal RNA". The stretch from base 1 to 54 matches the Rfam family "Eukaryotic small subunit ribosomal RNA", at positions 1778 to 1831 of the family's 1831-position model. The record is from RNAcentral.